This is a non-coding RNA of Podarcis lilfordi (Lilford's wall lizard), 5432 nucleotides long. The record is from the annotation of a GenBank genome assembly. NCBI's taxonomy places the organism in Eukaryota, Metazoa, Chordata, Lepidosauria, Squamata, Lacertidae.
CUCUCUCCUCAAAAGCGAAAGUAGAGAGACAGAACAAAGACUUGAGUCUCUCGGAACUGACGUAGCUUUCCCCCCCUCCCACCAGUAGGCAGGGCGUACAGUCUGAGCUGUUUAACCCUGUAAGCUCAGGUUCUCCUCACACCUAUGUUCAUCGGAGAAAUGUUGGAUGGUAUGGAGUUAUACAAUCCCCAAGCCAUCCGAAGGCAACCUGUAUAGGGAGGUUUUUUAAUGUUUACUGUUUUAUUACCUUUUUAUAUGUUUUGGAAGCCGCCCAGAGUGGCUAGAGCAACCCAGGCAGAUGGAUGUGGUAUAAAUACAGUGGUACCUCGGGCUACAUAUGCUGCAGGUUACAUAUGCUUCAGGUUACACACUCCGCUAACCCAGAAAUAGUGCUUCAGGUUAAGAACUUUGCUUCAGGAUGAGAACAGAAAUCGUGAUCUGGCAGCGCGGCGGCAGCAGGAGGCUGAAGUGGUGCUUCAGGUUAAGAACGGACCUCCGGAACGAAUUAAGUACUUAACCUGAGGUACCACUGUAGUAAAAUUGUUGUUACAGAACAGGGCACCCCUAUUUUCAUCGGAGAAAUGUUGGAGGGUAUGCUUUUGUCCUCACCUCAGUUUUGACUACUGGCUCCUCACACAGCUCCUGACCCACGACAGUGUGUUGCCCAUCGCUCAGUUCUGACUAAAGGAUUUUAUUGCUGGCGAGGACAUUUUGGGAGCCAAAAUAUCCAACGCCACUAAAUUCUGGUGUACUUCUUUAACAUAAUAGUGUAAACGGGGAUCAACAUAUACACACUGAGAAGCCAUUCCCACCCCCCUCACUACUUUAUAUGGAAACAACUGGAAAAACCUCUGUGAUUGAGGCUACCAAGAUGGCGCCUGUUUGUACAACGAACACUUCUGAGGUAAUUCUUUGGCCCUGCAAAAGCCUCUCAGUUUGCCCACUCGCUGCUGCUUAUUCAUGUUACUGGUUUCUCUGUUGAAAAAAAUACAGAGAGCCGAAGGAGGAAGUUGAAAGACUUCUUUCCAGUGCUAUUUUUCCAGAAAAAGAGGUGCUGGGACUCAGAAUGAAGACCUCUUAUAAUGGCAAUGGUGCCCACCUAAGAGGCGACAGAACUGAGUUCCAGCAAGUUCCAGCUGAAAAAAGCCCUGGUUCUUUCCCACUUUCUGUGUCAUCUCAAUGUGCUUUGGAAGGCGCUGAUUAAUUCUUUCGGAUCCAACUUUUAAACGUACUUUCUGUCUGUCUCUUGGGGCGAAGUUACCAAAAGUGUUGGAGCUCACAGCACUUCUUGAAAAAUCCAAGAUUGCCCACUGAGGUCUAGAAAGUUUGGGGAGCCUUCUUCUGGGCUCUUCAAAAAAACAAGCAGGUCCACUUUACUACCAUUUUACUACAGCUUUACUACCACUUUACUACUCUUUUACUACAAUCUUACUACCAUUUCACUACAGCUUUACUACCACUUUACUACUCUUUUACUACAAGCUUACUACCAUUUUACUACAGCUUUACUACCACUUUACUACUCUUUUACUACAAGCUUACUACCAUUUUACUACAGCUUUACUACCACCCUACUACCAUUUUACUACCGCUUUACUACCAUCUUACUAACAUUUUACUACCGCUUUACUACAAUCUUACUGCUACUUUACUACAGCGUUACUACUGCCUUGCUACCAUUUUACUACCACUCUACUACUGCUUUACUACGGCUUUACCACUACUUUUGCUACUACUUUUACUACUGCUUUACUGCUAUUUUACUACUGUUCCACUACUUUACUAUUGUGCCGUUUUACUACCACUUUACUACUAUUUUACUACUAUCUUACUGCUGUUUUACUACUACCUUGCUACCAUUUUACUACCAUUUUACUACUGCCUUACUACUUUACUACUGUUUUACUACUGCUUUAUUGCUAUUUUACUACUAUUCCACCACUUUACUAUUGUUUUACCAUUACUUAACUGCUACUUCACUACUGGUUUACUAUUGCUUUACUACCACUUUAUUUUCACUUUACUACUGCUACUUUAUUACUUAUACUACUUUACUAUUUAUACCCCUAUUUAUACAGUAGACCUUCCUGAACAAUGGCAUGCCUGCCUAUAGUAUUGUUACUAUUUUAUUAAUUGUAUAUACUGCCCUUCAUCCGUAGAUUUAAGGUUGGUUUACAACAUAAAAAUGCAUGAUUUUGAACUGCUAGGUUGGCAGGAGCAGAGACCAAGCAACGGGUGCUCACCCUGUCACGGGGAUUUGAACCAAAAUACACAAUAAAAACAAGAACAAGAACAAACCAAUAAGCCUCCUCCCUCACCCUCUCCUUUGGCUUGUCCUUCACUCAUGACUUCUCGCUUGUUCCUUGAUCUUAACUUCCCCACUUUUGCAAACCUUCCAGUUGUCCCUAAUUUUCCCGGGACAGUCCCAGAUUUAUUGAAGCUGUCCUGGUUUCUGAUGUUAUCCUGCUUUUCCUUAGGACGUCCCUAUGUUCAUCGGAGAAAUGUUGGAUGGUAUGGAGUUAUACAACCCCCAAGCCAUCCGAAGGCAACCUGUAUAGGGAGGUUUUUAAUGUUUACUGUUUUAUUACCUUUUUAUAUGUUUUGGAAGCCGCCCAGAGUGGCUAGAGCAACCCAGGCAGAUGGAUGUGGUAUAAAUACAGUGGUACCUCGGGCUACAUAUGCUGCAGGUUACAUAUGCUUCAGGUUACACACUCCGCUAACCCAGAAAUAGUGCUUCAGGUUAAGAACUUUGCUUCAGGAUGAGAACAGAAAUCGUGAUCUGGCAGCGCGGCGGCAGCAGGAGGCUGAAGUGGUGCUUCAGGUUAAGAACGGACCUCCGGAACGAAUUAAGUACUUAACCUGAGGUACCACUGUAGUAAAAUUGUUGUUACAGAACAGGGCACCCCUAUUUUCAUCGGAGAAAUGUUGGAGGGUAUGCUUUUGUCCUCACCUCAGUUUUGACUACUGGCUCCUCACACAGCUCCUGACCCACGACAGUGUGUUGCCCAUCGCUCAGUUCUGACUAAAGGAUUUUAUUGCUGGCGAGGACAUUUUGGGAGCCAAAAUAUCCAACGCCACUAAAUUCUGGUGUACUUCUUUAACAUAAUAGUGUAAACGGGGAUCAACAUAUACACACUGAGAAGCCAUUCCCACCCCCCUCACUACUUUAUAUGGAAACAACUGGAAAAACCUCUGUGAUUGAGGCUACCAAGAUGGCGCCUGUUUGUACAACGAACACUUCUGAGGUAAUUCUUUGGCCCUGCAAAAGCCUCUCAGUUUGCCCACUCGCUGCUGCUUAUUCAUGUUACUGGUUUCUCUGUUGAAAAAAAUACAGAGAGCCGAAGGAGGAAGUUGAAAGACUUCUUUCCAGUGCUAUUUUUCCAGAAAAAGAGGUGCUGGGACUCAGAAUGAAGACCUCUUAUAAUGGCAAUGGUGCCCACCUAAGAGGCGACAGAACUGAGUUCCAGCAAGUUCCAGCUGAAAAAAGCCCUGGUUCUUUCCCACUUUCUGUGUCAGCUCAAUGUGCUUUGGAAGGCGCUGAUUAAUUCUUUCGGAUCCAACUUUUAAACGUACUUUCUGUCUGUCUCUUGGGGCGAGAAGUUACCAAAAGUGUUGGAGCUCACAGCACUUCUUGAAAAAUCCAAGAUUGCCCACUGAGGUCUAGAAAGUUUGGGGAGCCUUCUUCUGGGCUCUUCAAAAAAACAAGCAGGUCCACUUUACUACCAUUUUACUACAGCUUUACUACCACUUUACUACUCUUUUACUACAAUCUUACUACCACUUUACUACAGCUUUACUACCACUUUACUACUCUUUUACUACAAGCUUACUACCAUUUUACUACAGCUUUACUACCACCCUACUACCAUUUUACUACCGCUUUACUACCAUCUUACUAACAUUUUACUACCGCUUUACUACAAUCUUACUGCUACUUUACUACAGCGUUACUACUGCCUUGCUACCAUUUUACUACCACUCUACUACUGCUUUACUACGGCUUUACCACUACUUUUGCUACUACUUUUACUACUGCUUUACUGCUAUUUUACUACUGUUCCACUACUUUACUAUUGUGCCGUUUUACUACCACUUUACUACUAUUUUACUACUAUCUUACUGCUGUUUUACUACUACCUUGCUACCAUUUUACUACCAUUUUACUACUGCCUUACUACUUUACUACUGUUUUACUACUGCUUUAUUGCUAUUUUACUACUAUUCCACCACUUUACUAUUGUUUUACCAUUACUUAACUGCUACUUCACUACUGGUUUACUAUUGCUUUACUACCACUUUAUUUUCACUUUACUACUGCUACUUUAUUACUUAUACUACUUUACUAUUUAUACCCCUAUUUAUACAGUAGACCUUCCUGAACAAUGGCAUGCCUGCCUAUAGUAUUGUUACUAUUUUAUUAAUUGUAUAUACUGCCCUUCAUCCGUAGAUUUAAGGUUGGUUUACAACAUAAAAAUGCAUGAUUUUGAACUGCUAGGUUGGCAGGAGCAGAGACCAAGCAACGGGUGCUCACCCUGUCACGGGGAUUUGAACCAAAAUACACAAUAAAAACAAGAACAAGAACAAACCAAUAAGCCUCCUCCCUCACCCUCUCCUUUGGCUUGUCCUUCACUCAUGACUUCUCGCUUGUUCCUUGAUCUUAACUUCCCCACUUUUGCAAACCUUCCAGUUGUCCCUAAUUUUCCCGGGACAGUCCCAGAUUUAUUGAAGCUGUCCUGGUUUCUGAUGUUAUCCUGCUUUUCCUUAGGACGUCCCUCUGGGAUAUCUUGAUUUAUUGCUCAGAUAAGCGUCCGGCACGCUUCCCCCAUCACGGGCCUCUGCAUUCCAAUGAUCCGACAUCUGAGCAUAGCAGAGUUCGUCAGCGGCUAGAGGAAACCAAAACACUCCAGUGCAUUCUUCAGUGUGCUUAAAUAAACUCCACACAGGAUCUUAGCAGCUAAAAGCAGCUUUAUUUACAGCAGGCUAUCCAUUAUCUAUCACAGCGAACAGCAUCGCGAAAACACGUCCUCUCUCCUCAAAAGCGAAAGUAGAGAGACAGAACAAAGACUUGAGUCUCUCGGAACUGACGUAGCUUUUCCCCCCUCCCACCAGUAGGCAGGGCGUACAGUCUGAGCUGUUUAACCCUGUAAGCUCAGGUUCUCCUCACACCCCCUCUCGCCCUGCGCUACUGUGGGGACGGUAAGUACAGAACUUACCCCCAACUCCAAACCACCACAAAACUCCCCAUGGCGCUGGAAGCUUAAAGGUUUGGUAAAUCCAUCGGCCAGGUUACUGUGACUGGUACAGUACUUCAGUCGUAUCAAACCUGAUUGAACACUCUGACACACAUUUUGGAAACGUAUGUCCAGAUGCUUGGUUCUCGCCUUAAAUUGCGCAGAUUCAGCCAACUUCAAACAAGGCUGAUUGUCUUCCCA